GACGAACGCUGGCGGCGUGCUUAACACAUGCAAGUCGAACGGAAAGGCCCUGCUUGCAGGGUACUCGAGGGGCGAACGGGUGAGUAACACGUGGGUGAUCUGCCCUGCACUUCGGGAUAAGCCUGGGAAACGGGGUCUAAUACCGGAUAGGAGCCACGUUUAGUGUGAUGGUUGGAAAGUUUUUUCGGUGUAGGAUGAGCUCGCGGCCUAUCAGCUUGUUGGUGGGGUAAUGGGCUACCAAGGCGGCGACGGGUAGCCGGCCUGAGAGGGUGGACGGCCACAUUGGGACUGAGGUACGGCCCAGACGCCUACGGGAGGCAGCAGGGGGGAAUAUUGCACAAUGGGCGCAAGCCUGAUGCAGCGACGCCGCGUGGGGGAUGACGGCCUUCGGGUUGUAAACUCCUUUCGCUAGGGACGAAGCUUUUUGUGACGGUACCUAGAUAAGAAGCACCGGCUAACUACGUG
This 465-nucleotide ribosomal RNA is filed under the name uncultured bacterium. RNAcentral describes it as "partial 16S ribosomal RNA". It matches the Rfam family "Bacterial small subunit ribosomal RNA", at positions 28 to 507 of the family's 1533-position model. The record is from RNAcentral.